GACGAACGCUGGCGGCGUGCUUAACACAUGCAAGUCGAGCGGUAAGGCCCUUUCGGGGGUACACGAGCGGCGAACGGGUGAGUAACACGUGGGUGACCUGCCCUCAGCUCUGGGAUAAGCCUGGGAAACUGGGUCUAAUACUGGAUAUGACUCCACGGUGCAUGUCGUGGGGUGGAAAGCCUUGUGCGACUGAGGAUGGGCCCGCGGCCUAUCAGCUUGUUGGUGGGGUGANGGCCUACCAAGGCGACGACGGGUAGCCGGCCUGAGAGGGCGACCGGCCACACUGGGACUGAGACACGGCCCAGACUCCUACGGGAGGCAGCAGUGGGGAAUCUUGCGCAAUGGGCGAAAGCCUGACGCAGCGACGCCGCGUGAGGGAUGACGGCCU
RNAcentral lists this ribosomal RNA (388 nucleotides) under uncultured bacterium. Its description in RNAcentral is "bacterial SSU rRNA". It matches the Rfam family "Bacterial small subunit ribosomal RNA", at positions 28 to 417 of the family's 1533-position model. The record is from RNAcentral.